This 701-nucleotide ribosomal RNA is filed under the name uncultured Serratia sp. Its description in RNAcentral is "bacterial SSU rRNA". It matches the Rfam family "Bacterial small subunit ribosomal RNA", at positions 768 to 1469 of the family's 1533-position model. The record is from RNAcentral. Lineage: Bacteria; Pseudomonadati; Pseudomonadota; Gammaproteobacteria; Enterobacterales; Yersiniaceae.
GCGAACGGGAUUAGAUACCCUGGUAGUCCACGCUGUAAACGAUGUCGAUUUGGAGGUUGUGCCCUUGAGGCGUGGCUUCCGGAGCUAACGCGUUAAAUCGACCGCCUGGGGAGUACGGCCGCAAGGUUAAAACUCAAAUGAAUUGACGGGGGCCCGCACAAGCGGUGGAGCAUGUGGUUUAAUUCGAUGCAACGCGAAGAACCUUACCUACUCUUGACAUCCAGAGAACUUUCCAGAGAUGGAUUGGUGCCUUCGGGAACUCUGAGACAGGUGCUGCAUGGCUGUCGUCAGCUCGUGUUGUGAAAUGUUGGGUUAAGUCCCGCAACGAGCGCAACCCUUAUCCUUUGUUGCCAGCGGUUCGGCCGGGAACUCAAAGGAGACUGCCAGUGAUAAACUGGAGGAAGGUGGGGAUGACGUCAAGUCAUCAUGGCCCUUACGAGUAGGGCUACACACGUGCUACAAUGGCAUAUACAAAGAGAAGCGACCUCGCGAGAGCAAGCGGACCUCAUAAAGUAUGUCGUAGUCCGGAUUGGAGUCUGCAACUCGACUCCAUGAAGUCGGAAUCGCUAGUAAUCGUAGAUCAGAAUGCUACGGUGAAUACGUUCCCGGGCCUUGUACACACCGCCCGUCACACCAUGGGAGUGGGUUGCAAAAGAAGUAGGUAGCUUAACCUUCGGGAGGGCGCUUACCACUUUGUGAUU